CGGUCAUUUCAAAGAGAACUUGUUAGACUCUUGACCAAGAUCCCUUGACAUUCUGACCAAAGAUUAAUGUUGUCUGCAGGGUGACACAGUCACUUAGAGUGCUGUUUUUCUGAGGGGACAAAAAAAAAAA
Molecule: small nucleolar RNA, 130 nt
Filed under: Mus pahari (shrew mouse)
Lineage: Eukaryota; Metazoa; Chordata; Mammalia; Rodentia; Muridae
Description: snoRNA (MGP_PahariEiJ_G0034554.1)
Source: RNAcentral